This 308-nucleotide ribosomal RNA is filed under the name uncultured Sclerotinia. Its description in RNAcentral is "partial large subunit ribosomal RNA". It matches the Rfam family "Eukaryotic large subunit ribosomal RNA", at positions 40 to 350 of the family's 3401-position model. The record is from RNAcentral. Lineage: Eukaryota; Fungi; Ascomycota; Leotiomycetes; Helotiales; Sclerotiniaceae.
AUAUCAAUAAGCGGAGGAAAAGAAACCAACAGGGAUUGCCUUAGUAACGGCGAGUGAAGCGGCAACAGCUCAAAUUUGAAAUCUGCCUCUAGGCCGAGUUGUAAUUUGUAGAAGAUGCUUCGGGUGUGGCACCGGUCUAAGUUCCUUGGAACAGGACGUCAUAGAGGGUGAGAAUCCCGUAUGCGGCCGGUGGCCGUCCCUGUGUGGAGAUCCCUCGACGAGUCGAGUUGUUUGGGAAUGCAGCUCAAAACGGGUGGUAAAUCUCAUCUAAAGCUAAAUACCGGCCGGAGACCGAUAGCGCACAAGUA